This 3241-nucleotide long non-coding RNA is filed under the name Sus scrofa (pig). RNAcentral's name for it is "lncRNA (ENSSSCG00060077375.1)". Lineage: Eukaryota; Metazoa; Chordata; Mammalia; Artiodactyla; Suidae. The record is from RNAcentral.
UUUUUUUUUUUUUCUUUUAGACAAUGGUUUCUCCCCUUUAUUUUAUUAUUUUAUUUUAUGUUUUAGACACACUGCACAGCAGGAUUGUCACUCAGGUAUGAGGAUGACCAUUUUGUACCUUGAUAAAAUUACUAGUUUUGACCCAUGUGUCUAUUUAUAUGUUACUACUAUUUUUAAAGCUGAUAAAUGAAAGAAAUGAUGUUUUGGCGUGGCACAAUUGGAAAUCGUAUCGUAUCUGUGCAGAGACCUUUUCUAAGCCUUAGCUUAGAGAACCCACUUGAAAUUUAUUUCCAGAUUUACAAACAGGGACAGAACACAGCUAGCUAGGGACUCCUGAACAGCUGAUAUGGAAAUAAUUAUUUUUAGAUAAUUGAUUCAAAUUGAUAAAAUGCUUAACCUCGUUGUAGUCUUUUUAAGUGACAAGGAAGAUUAAGUUUCUCUCUGCUUAAAACUCUUCAAAGGUCAGGCUUCUAAUUGGCAUUUAAAUACUAGUUGAUUGAAUGUUGGUUCACUCAAGCCCUUCCUAUUUAAUAUUUAUGUGCGGUGAAGCACGAAUCAGAAUUAACUGGGGAGGAAAGAGGAAGAUGCCUGCAACUAACUCAGCAAAGGAAGGAAAGGCAGCAGCACAGAACUAGUGAACCUGAACAUAGGCCCAUUCUUUUUGAUUCCGGAGCAUAGGAUCUGGCUGAAGAGAUCUUGAGUUCAGGUCUCAUGUGAACCCAAUUACUAAAUUACUAUAUGUAGCUUUUCUCAUCUCUCAAAUGGUUAUAAUAUGGCUUAUACUACCUUGUACAAAGCUUAACUAAGAUGUCACAGUGGGUCUGGAAGUGCUUUAAAACUAGAAAGCAUUUAAAGAAAUGUAAGAUUAAGCUAUUAACGAGGAACUUUUCAUUGGGUAUCUCUCCUUUUUCCUUUUCCCAAGAAGAGUUCCCGUUGUGGCUCAGUGGUUAACAAAUCCAACUAGGAACCAUGAGGUUGCAGGUUCGGUCCCUGGACUUGCUCAGUGGAUUAAGGAUUCGGUGUUGCUGAGAGCUGUGGUGUAGGCUACAGACGUGGCUCAGAUUCCGCGUCGCUGUGGCUCUGGUGUAGGCCAGUGGCUACAGCUCUGAUUAGCCCCCUAGCCUGGGAAUCUCCAUAUGCCGCGGGAGUGGCCCAAGAAAUGGCAAAAAGACAAAAAAAUAAUAAUUUCAUGUCACCUAAAGUGACUUUUUUUUUUUCCUUUUACCAAAGGCACAGACUAGAAUGGAGUGAGCAAAGUUUUAAAAUUAAAAAGCCUUAAAUUAGAUUCAAGCUUUAGGGUUAAAAAUCCUAAAAAGAAUUCAUCAAUCCAACCAGUGUUUAUAAAACUUUAAAAGCAGACUGGUUUGGCCAUUUAUAAUCAUCUCUUUCAUUGAAAUAAAAAAAAUGGUUUCCAGAUUUACAACUCAUUUUUAUGUGUUCAGUUUAGUGCAGAGCACUUUGUUUCCUAAACAUCAUGUUUGUAUGCAGUUCUCUGUGGCUGGUAAAAAUGUUUACUGGGAAGCACACCUCCUCCUUCUUUAUCAUUCAGAGAAAGGUAUAUGCCAAGUACUUAUCUCCUUGGCAAAGGCAUGACUUAACAUUUUCACCAGCUCCCCCUGGACAGCAUUUUUAACUUCUGUUUCAUUUGGAGAGCGUCGUUUUUGCUAUAUAACAAUUGUGUGUGUGUGUGUAUGUGUGUGUGUGUGUGUGUGUGUGUGUGUGUGUGCGUGUGCAUAUUGAGGAUAAAGGCUAAAAAAAGAAUGCUCACAUGAAAACACAUGUUACCAGCUGUAAUGUAUGAACUUGUUUUGAUCUAGAUUCAAACAUCAUCAGCAACAAAAAGACAUUUAGAAGAUAAUUAGGAAAUGUGAAACUGAAUAUUUUAUGAUGUUAAGCAACGAUUGUUACUUUUGGGGGCUGUGAUCAUGUUUUAAAAGAGGAGUCUUUACCUCUGCCACCAACAGUGACAACAGAACAAAGUAGAAAACAUCAUGAGGGAAUGGAAACAACAAUAUAUAAGCAGUAAUAAUGAUAGCUGACGCCGACUGAGUGCUUCCAAUGAGGCAGUCUGUGUUCUGCAUUACAGUUUUUAUUUUCCAUAUCAUUUCCAUUUUGCAGAUGAGACUGUUGACACACAGAUGAGUUAAGUAACUUAUCCAGUUCACAAAACUAGAAGGUGGAAGUGGAAAUAAGAGCUGAACUCAGGAUUUCAGAACUAUAAUUACCGUCACAGUGACAAACAGUGAAGGCAGAGCUAAGAACCAGAAGACGCAAUAGCAGUCUCUGAUGGAUGCCUUACCUUUAUCUGGAGGCCAUACUGUAUUUAGAUGAAGGUAACUGGGAGGUGAAUUUGCAAUCAGAACUCAAGUCCUGGGCAAUGUGAAAGUUUCUUACACGCCUGAAGAUUGAACUAAGUCUUUGAAUGCUCAACAGCUUCUUAUAUAAAAGUCUUCACUUUUUAUUCGAAGGAAUGAAGUUGUGGAAGCCUAACAAAUAUGAAUAAAAAAAAAGACUGGAAAUUAGUACAUUGACAGUAUUUUGACAAUUGAGUAUCUUUAGUACUGGGAUUGAGGGUAACUUAAAAAUUCUUAUUUAUGCUUUUUGUCACUUUCCAAUGAUUCUACAGUAUCUAUCUAUUGCUUUGGUAAUUUUUCUAGAAGGAAAAUCUUGGAAAACAAGCACUAGCUUUUCUCAAACUCCACCAAAGAUUGAUUGCAUCUGUUUGUAGUGACUAAAACAGGGGAGAAGUCUUUGAACUUUUCUAGGAUCAUUUUUUAUACCUACUAAGUGAAUAACUUCCUUUCAUCUUAUAGAUAUAAGGGAGAAAGAGAUAAACUCAGCUAUCCAGAACCAAAUUAAUGAACGUGUAUAGAUCUUUUCUCAUUGUGAUCAAAUGAGCUUGUAAAGACUCAGAAAAGACUCCAUAGGUUUUGUUUUGUUUUGCUUUUUCACUCCGUAGGUUACUAACAGUUGAAGUCCCUUAAAAAGGGCCUGUAAAGGAUAAUGAACCUCUUAGGGAGUUCCCGUUGUGGCUCAGUGGUUAACAAAUCUGACUAGUAACCAUGAGGUUGUGGAUUCGAUCCCUGGCCUCACUCAGUGGGUCAACGAUCUGGCAUUGCCGUGAGCUCUGGUGUAGGUCGAAGAUGUGGCUCAGAUCCCGCAUUGCUGUGGCUGUGGUGUAGGCCGAUGGCUACAGCUCUUAUUCGACCCCCUAGCCUGGGAACCUCCAUGUGCCACAGUG